UACGUAGGGUGCAAGCGUUGUCCGGAAUUAUUGGGCGUAAAGAGCUCGUAGGCGGUUCGUCGCGUCGGCUGUGAAAACCCGGAGCUCAACUCCGGGCCUGCAGUCGAUACGGGCGGACUUGAGUGUUGCAGGGGAGACUGGAAUUCCUGGUGUAGCGGUGAAAUGCGCAGAUAUCAGGAGGAACACCGGUGGCGAAGGCGGAUCUCUGGGCCAUUACUGACGCUGAGGAGCGAAAGCGUGGGGAGCGAACAGG
This 253-nucleotide ribosomal RNA is filed under the name uncultured bacterium. Its description in RNAcentral is "partial 16S ribosomal RNA". It matches the Rfam family "Bacterial small subunit ribosomal RNA", at positions 524 to 776 of the family's 1533-position model. The record is from RNAcentral.